This 303-nucleotide ribosomal RNA is filed under the name uncultured eukaryote. Its description in RNAcentral is "SSU rRNA". It matches the Rfam family "Eukaryotic small subunit ribosomal RNA", at positions 111 to 414 of the family's 1831-position model. The record is from RNAcentral.
UAUAGUUUCCAUGUCAGUUGUUUAUUACCUGGAUAUCCACGGUAAUUCUAGAGCUAAUACAUGCGUCCAAACCCGACUUUUGCGGAAGGGUUGUGCUUAUUAGACACUGAACCAUCCCGGGCUUGCCUGGUUUCGAGGUGACUGAUGGUAAUCGAACGAAUCGCAUGCUUCGGCGGCGAUGAUUCAUUCAAGUUUCUGACCUAUCAGCUUCCGACGGUAGGGUAUUGGCCUACCGUGGCUUUGACGGGUAACGGAGAAUUAGGGUUCGAUUCCGGAGAGGGAGCCUGAGAAACGGCUACCACA